This 424-nucleotide ribosomal RNA is filed under the name uncultured bacterium. RNAcentral's name for it is "bacterial SSU rRNA". It matches the Rfam family "Bacterial small subunit ribosomal RNA", at positions 355 to 796 of the family's 1533-position model. The record is from RNAcentral.
UAACGAAUCUUCCGCAAUGCACGAAAGUGUGACGGAGCGACGCCGCGUGUAGGACGAAGCCCUUCGGGGUGUAAACUACUGUCAGGGGUUAGAAAGUUCUGAUCAACCCCAGAGGAAGGCACGGCUAACUCUGUGCCAGCAGCCGCGGUAAGACAGAGGUGCCAAGCGUUAGGCGGAAUCACUGGGCUUAAAGCGUGUGUAGGCGGAUCUGUAAGUGUCUUGUGAAAUCCCACGGCUCAACCGUGGAACUGCUUGACAUACUGCGGAUCUUGAGCCACUUAGGGGUCAGCGGAACAAAUGGUGGAGCGGUGAAAUGCGUAGAUAUCAUUUGGAACGCCAAUGGUGAAAACAGCUGACUGGGAGUGUGCUGACGCUGAGACACGAAAGCCAGGGGAGCAAACGGGAUUAGAUACCCCCGUAGUCC